This 75-nucleotide small RNA is filed under the name Pedobacter sp. SG908. Its description in RNAcentral is "Flavo-1 RNA". It matches the Rfam family "Flavo-1 RNA". Lineage: Bacteria; Pseudomonadati; Bacteroidota; Sphingobacteriia; Sphingobacteriales; Sphingobacteriaceae. The record is from RNAcentral. RNAcentral also lists the same sequence under 1 other name.
ACCUAGCCCUGAUUGAAAUGAAAAGCCCGCAAACGAGGCACGAGUGCGGACUUGUAAUGUAAAGCAGGACGAACA